Molecule: ribosomal RNA, 496 nt
Filed under: uncultured bacterium
Lineage: Bacteria
Description: partial 16S ribosomal RNA
Rfam family: Bacterial small subunit ribosomal RNA
Source: RNAcentral
GAUGAACGCUGGCGGCGUGCCUAAUACAUGCAAGUCGAGCGAACAGACGAGGAGCUUGCUCCUCUGACGUUAGCGGCGGACGGGUGAGUAACACGUGGAUAACCUACCUAUAAGACUGGGAUAACUUCGGGAAACCGGAGCUAAUACCGGAUAAUAUAUUGAACCGCAUGGUUCAAUAGUGAAAGACGGUUUUGCUGUCACUUAUAGAUGGAUCCGCGCCGCAUUAGCUAGUUGGUAAGGUAACGGCUUACCAAGGCAACGAUGCGUAGCCGACCUGAGAGGGGGAUCGGCCACACUGGAACUGAGACACGUUCCAGACUCCUACGGGAGGCAGCAGUAGGGAAUCUGCCGCAAUGGGCGAAAGCCUGACGGAGCAACGCCGCGUGAGUGAUGAAGGUCUUCGGAUCGUAAAACUCUGUUAUUAGGGAAGAACAAAUGUGUAAGUAACUAUGCACGUCUUGACGGUACCUAAUCAGAAAGCCACGGCUAACUACGU